Long non-coding RNA from Zalophus californianus (California sea lion), 1988 nucleotides. RefSeq lists it as uncharacterized. The record is from RefSeq and is a predicted model, not a curated record. Lineage: Eukaryota; Metazoa; Chordata; Mammalia; Carnivora; Otariidae. The transcript is spliced from 3 exons.
UGAGCCGAAGGCAGACGCUUAACGACUGAGCCACCCAGGCGACCCAAUAGAAACUUUUUUAAAAAUAAAAAAUUCAAAUUGUUUUUCUAGUAUUAACCAUUUGGUAAGAUUCCACUACUAUACUUUGAAUAUUCCCCAUAAUCAUCCAGUUAAUAUAUCACUUUAACACAGUUACUGUUAUUUACUAUGUGCAAGGCAUUUUUUUUAGGUUUUGUAGUAUACACAGAAUAUGUGAAGCAUAUGUGAUAAAGCCUGAUGUAUACAGAAAACACAUGUACAAUCAUAGAGGUAGACAAGAUGCUUAUAAGAGCUCAGGGGAAGUAGGGUUCAAUUCUGAUUGGAAAGAAAAAGUUUGGGAAGCUCCUGAGACGAGUUUUGAAGGAUGGGAUUAGAGACAUAAGGGCAGGAAGGGAGUAGUCAGCAAAGGUACAGAAGCAAGGAAGUACAAGAAAUGAUGUGGAGUAUGUGCUUAGUCUUUCAUUCAGUACACAUUCAGUGUCAGGCACUACUGAGCACUGCUCAGGGGGAGAGAAAGGGUUCCUGCCCUUACACUCCAGUGUUUUCGCAAAUAAUGACUAAAAUGUACUUAAGAGAGUAAGAAUAAGGUGGAAAUAAAAAUGAAGUAGGAGAAAAGAUUGUUAAGGAGUAUGAUGCUAAACAAGCAGCACUUCAACUUUCUGGCAUUUAGUAUCAUGUAAUACAGAAAAGUACUAGUUAUGAUAGGAUUGAGUUUCAUAUUUCUGCGUUUUGUUCUCAAGGUAAUGGAAGGCCAUUGAGGUCUUUGAACCAAGGAAUGGCGUGAUCAUCUUAACUGCCUUCAGAAGAAUAAAAUUAAGUGGGGAAGGAACAGAAAGAAAAACUAUUUUGGAAGCCUGGAAAUAAAAGCCUGAGGGUCACAAGUAGAAGAGCUAAAAGGCAUUGACAUGACAGGUGGGUGUUCCCUCUAACGCUGUAAGACGAUUGUCGGCACCAUCCACCCCUGAGGUUGCAGGCUCACGGGACUCCGGAUCCAGGGAGCUACUGACUCCCACUUGACCUCUGGCCUGCCGCUCCUCCUGUGUGAGGCUGAAUGGUGCCACCUGGGAGUGUGGAGGGGUUCCUGCUCCGUGGUAGAAACUGACCAGGGCGGGAGAGUCUGCAGAAACGUCGCCUUCCUCCUCCUCCGCGGGGGUGAGCCGAGCCGAAGGGGCCCGCAGCGCCGAUGCUCCGAACGCAGUGAGACGAGGCGAACAGCAUUUCCGAAGCGAGAGAGUGAGUGCGCAGGAGUGCCGGUGGGGGGCAGAAGGAGACGCAGAAUGCCAAGCAGGCUCCACGCCAAGGGCAGAGGCUGCCGCAGGACUGGAUUCAGGACCCUGAGAUUAUGAGCUGAGCUGAAAUCAAGAGCCUGUCACUUAACCAGCUGAGUCACCCAGGUGCCCCAAAACUUUUUUUUCUAAUGUGUUUUAUUGCUAUAAAUUUCCCCAUAAGUACUGCAUCCCAUAGAUUAUUUUUUCAAGUAUUUCUCUCUACUUCCUGUCUCACCUUUGAGGACUCAGAUUACAAUUACACGUAUCAGGGCACUUGAAAUUGUACCACAGCCUGUUGAUGCUCUACUCAUUUUUUCUCAGUGUUUUCUUUUCCUCUGCUUUUCAUUUUGCAGAGUUUCUAUUACUAUGUCUUAUAUACUAUAAUUUUUUUCUUCCAUUACACUUUAACUACAAUUAAUCCCAUGUGUGCAUUUUUUGUUGUUUUUGUUUUUAAAUCUUAGACAUUGUAGUUUUUGUCUCUACAAGUUUAGUUUGGUUGCUUUUUUAUAACUUUCAUGUCUCUACCAAACAUACUGUGUUUCCCCUAGCUUCUUGAUCAUAUGGAAUGUAGGUAUAAUUAUCUUAAUGUGCUUGUCUAUUAAUUCUUUGUCAUUUCUGGGCCAAUUUAGUUGAGUGGUUUUUCUUACUAUGGGCUGUAUUUUCCUGCUUCCUUGCAUGAUUUAUAAUUUCUUUUUAAAGAUU